RNAcentral lists this unclassified non-coding RNA (275 nucleotides) under uncultured fungus. Its description in RNAcentral is "sequence contains ITS1". Lineage: Eukaryota; Fungi. The record is from RNAcentral.
UAUAUGGUUUAUAGGCACUGAGGCCCAAAUGAUACAUUCUGUUACAUACUACGGGUAUAUGAAAAACGUAGGCUUGGAAAGUCCAAAGAAAGCUGACGCAAAACGACAGCAUUUCCUCCCAACCGAGUUGCCUCGGAAAGUCUAUUCCAGGUCUACAAGAGGUGCACAGGUGGAGAGAUGGAGAUGGCGGGUGUGCACAUGCCCCCCGAGAGGGCCAGCAACAACCACGCCAAGUUCAUUCAAUAAUGAUCCUUCCGCAGGUUCACCUACGGAAA